This 559-nucleotide unclassified non-coding RNA is filed under the name Hevea brasiliensis (rubber tree). Lineage: Eukaryota; Viridiplantae; Streptophyta; Magnoliopsida; Malpighiales; Euphorbiaceae. The record is from RNAcentral.
AGUCACCUAUACCUUAUUACCUCUCUUAUUGGAGGAUAUGAAGAGGCUCAACUAAAAUGCAGUGCAAUGCAAUUAUUUUAUUAAACAAAGAUUAUCCUCCAAUAAGAGAGGUAAUAAGGUAUAGGUGACUUGGCAAAAGCGCAUAGGUUAGACAAUACUACAAGGAAACCCAUGACAGCAAAGCAAGCCAAACAUCAUGAAAGUCCGUUCCCACAAUAUAAGAAGGACGCAUCUCGAUCCAAAUCACAAAUAUGCCACCGCAAAAAGACAAAGAUGAAAGUGGUUGCCACCAAAAAUAAAUAAACAAAUCAAAUCAGUGCAAGUGCCUCGUGCAUCCUCCACUAAUUACAUGUCAGUGUCGGCUGGGCCCCACAUUAGCCACGCCUACAAGUAACAGCCGUUCCAAUUCGUCCCCGUUUUCUCACGAUAUAACACUACUUCUCACACUUGUUUACCGUCUCAUUUUGUUUAUUUAGCUGUCUCGUUGUCCGUAUCCCUACCAAGAUAUGUGGGUCUUUCCAAGCUCCAGCUUCUAACAAGAAACCAUCAAACAAAAAAA